Mycena rosella is the source of this 88-nucleotide non-coding RNA. NCBI's taxonomy places the organism in Eukaryota, Fungi, Basidiomycota, Agaricomycetes, Agaricales, Mycenaceae. The record is from the annotation of a GenBank genome assembly.
AGCAGUAUGGUGUAUUGCACACACGGGGUUUUGUUAGUAAGUACCUAUACUUCACCCCGAGGUCCUUGUUCGAGCCAAGGUGCUGCUC